CCUACGGGUGGCAGCAGUGAGGAAUAUUGGUCAAUGGACGAGAGUCUGAACCAGCCAAGUAGCGUGAAGGAUGACUGCCCUAUGGGUUGUAAACUUCUUUUAUAUGGGAAUAAAACGUUCCACGUGUGGGAUUUUGUAUGUACCAUAUGAAUAAGGAUCGGCUAACUCUGUGCCAGCAGCCGCGGGAAUACGGAGGAUCCGAGCGUUAUCCGGAUUUAUUGGGUUUAAAGGGAGCGUAGGUGGAUUGUUAAGUCAGUUGUGAAAGUUUGCGGCUCAACCGUAAAAUUGCAGUUGAAACUGGCAGUCUUGAGUACAGUAGAGGUGGGCGGAAUUCGUGGUGUAGCGGUGAAAUGCUUAGAUAUCACGAAGAACUCCGAUUGCGAAGGCAGUUCACUGGACUGCAACUGACACUGAGGCUCGAAAGUGUGGGUAUCAAACAGGAUUAGAUACCCCAGUAGUC
RNAcentral lists this ribosomal RNA (460 nucleotides) under uncultured bacterium. RNAcentral's name for it is "partial 16S ribosomal RNA". It matches the Rfam family "Bacterial small subunit ribosomal RNA", at positions 338 to 795 of the family's 1533-position model. The record is from RNAcentral.